GUCAGGAUGGAAGAGCGGUCUAAGGCACCAGACUCAAGUUUCCAAAAAUUGCCCCUCUAAUGCGCUUCCAAAGAGCGUUCUGGUCCACUAAUGUGGGCGUGGGUUCGAAUCCCACUCUUGACA
This is a non-coding RNA of Paramuricea clavata, 123 nucleotides long. NCBI's taxonomy places the organism in Eukaryota, Metazoa, Cnidaria, Anthozoa, Malacalcyonacea, Plexauridae. The record is from the annotation of a GenBank genome assembly.